GACGUAGGGCGCGAGCGUUGUCCGGAUUUAUUGGGCGUAGAGAGCUCGUAGGCGGCUUGUUGCGUCGACUGUGAAAACCCGCGGCUUAACUGCGGGCUUGCAGUUGAUACGGGCAGGCUAGAGUUCGGUAGGGGAGACUGGAAUUCCUGGUGUAGCGGUGAAAUGCGCAGAUAUCAGGAGGAACACCGGUGGCGAAGGCGGGUCUCUGGGCCGAUACUGACGCUGAGGAGCGAAAGCGUGGGGAGCGAACAGG
This 253-nucleotide ribosomal RNA is filed under the name uncultured bacterium. RNAcentral's name for it is "partial 16S ribosomal RNA". It matches the Rfam family "Bacterial small subunit ribosomal RNA", at positions 524 to 776 of the family's 1533-position model. The record is from RNAcentral.